RNAcentral lists this ribosomal RNA (517 nucleotides) under uncultured eukaryote. RNAcentral describes it as "SSU rRNA". It matches the Rfam family "Eukaryotic small subunit ribosomal RNA", at positions 20 to 565 of the family's 1831-position model. The record is from RNAcentral.
GUAGUCAUAUGCUUGUCUCAAAGAUUAAUCCAUGCAUGUGUAAGUAUAAGUAUUGUACAGCGAACUGCGAAUGGCUCAUUACAUCAGUUAUUAUUUAUUUGAUAAUCGAAAGUUACAUGGAUAACCGUGACAAAUUACAGCUAAUACAUGCAGUCAGACCUGGUCCAAGGGUCGUAAUUAUUAGUAUUAAACCAUUUCCGAAAGGAGUGUGAUGAAUCAUAAUAAUCGAACGAAUCGCCUGGUGUGCGAUAAAUCAUUCAAGUUUCUGCCCUAUCAGCUUUGGAUGGUAGUGUAUUGGACUACCAUGGCAGUCACGGGUAACGGAGAAUUAGGGUUCGAUUCCGGAGAGGGAGCCUGAGAAACGGCUACCACAUCUACGGAAGGCAGCAGGAGCGAAAAUUGCCCAAUCCUGACACGGGGAGGCAGUGACAAGAAAUAACAACUCUAGGUUAUUCUUAGAAGUGUAAUGAGGAUAAUUUACAACCCUUACCGAAAGCAAUUGGAGGGCAAGUCUGGU